CCCUUAGAUGUUCUGGGCCGCACACGCGCUACACUGAAGGAGGCAGCGUGUACUCCUGGAUCGAAAGAUUUGGGUAACCCGCGAAUCUCCUUCGUGCUAGGGAUUGAGGUUUGCAAUUAUCCUUCAUGAACGAGGAAUUCCCAGUAAGUGCAAGUCAUAAGCUUGCGCUGACUACGUCCCUGCCCUUUGUACACACCGCCCGUCGCUACUACCGAUUGAAUGAUUUAGUGAGGCCUUCGGAUCCGCAACUCGUUUUGUGGAGAAGUUGGACAAACUCAGUCAUUUAGAGGAAGUAAAANUCGUAACA
This 307-nucleotide ribosomal RNA is filed under the name uncultured eukaryote. Its description in RNAcentral is "partial 18S ribosomal RNA". It matches the Rfam family "Eukaryotic small subunit ribosomal RNA", at positions 1470 to 1796 of the family's 1831-position model. The record is from RNAcentral.